CCUACUCUGUACGUGCUCUCUUUUAAAAAUAGAAAGAUACAUUUGAGUUCGCUGAACCAAGACAUUUGGAUCUUCAGACAGUGACCACUUUUCCCAUUAACAAUGACAAAGUCUCCUUGACCUUCAAUUCAAUUCUUGUCCACAUCUCUACCAAUAAAUAAACUAAAAUCUUCUCAUUUUCUUUCUCACUCGCAUAUUCAUUCAUCACAAUUUUCUCACCCUAGCUACCUCUUUAAUUGCUGCCGUACAUAUUCACUAUCACGGGCCUGCAAGUACUCUCUAGUAGUACUUUGUCUGGAUACCUUUAAUUUUCAGGGUCGUGGGCUCUGACAAGAAAAGGUGCAAGGUUUCUGGUCAUGACUCAUGAACGCUGAAGAGCUAGGUGGAGCCGCAACAGAGAGUUUUGAAUGGUAUAGGUGGCUCUUCAAUUCCGAAGAAUAGAAAGAGGAAGAGUUAUUUUCAGCUACUUAAUUAUUAGUUGUUACAUGCAUGUUACGGUACACAAUGAUGGCUUUGGUUCUCCUCACACUUUCAAUCUUGGUGCUUCCGGUGGUGUUGCCGCCGCUGCCGCCACCGCCUUUGAGCCUUCUCCUUGUUCCCGUUUUCAUCUUGCUGCUGCUAUUUUUCUUGGCCUUUUCAUCAACACCCUCCAAAUUUCCGAGCUUUGCUGUCCUUUUCUCUUCGCUGUAUUAGUGAUUUUGUGAGAUCCAGAACAAAGUCAAUAAAGCUGUGGAAUCUUGAGUUUGUUUCAGCUUUCUAGGUUGCACGGAUUAUUCAUGUUUUCGCUGUCCAUAUGGAGAGGUAAUGAAUUUUGUUCAUGAUUA
Molecule: long non-coding RNA, 824 nt
Organism: Arachis duranensis
Lineage: Eukaryota; Viridiplantae; Streptophyta; Magnoliopsida; Fabales; Fabaceae
Exons: 2
Source: RefSeq, a predicted model, not a curated record